RNAcentral lists this ribosomal RNA (467 nucleotides) under uncultured bacterium. RNAcentral's name for it is "partial 16S ribosomal RNA". It matches the Rfam family "Bacterial small subunit ribosomal RNA", at positions 28 to 506 of the family's 1533-position model. The record is from RNAcentral.
GACGAACGCUGGCGGCGUGCUUAACACAUGCAAGUCGAACGGAAAGGCCCUGCUUUUGUGGGGUGCUCGAGUGGCGAACGGGUGAGUAACACGUGAGUAACCUGCCCUUGACUUUGGGAUAACUUCAGGAAACUGGGGCUAAUACCGGAUAGGAGCUCCUGCUGCAUGGUGGGGGUUGGAAAGUUUCGGCGGUUGGGGAUGGACUCGCGGCUUAUCAGCUUGUUGGUGGGGUAGUGGCUUACCAAGGCUUUGACGGGUAGCCGGCCUGAGAGGGUGACCGGCCACAUUGGGACUGAGAUACGGCCCAGACUCCUACGGGAGGCAGCAGUGGGGAAUAUUGCACAAUGGGCGGAAGCCGGAUGCAGCAACGCCGCGUGCGGGAGGACGGCCUUCGGGUGGUAAACCGCUUUCGCCUGUGACGAAGCGUGAGUGACGGUAAUGGGGAAAGAAGCACCGGCUAACUACGU